This 218-nucleotide small RNA is filed under the name uncultured Coprococcus sp. Its description in RNAcentral is "Clostridiales-3 RNA". It matches the Rfam family "Clostridiales-3 RNA". The record is from RNAcentral. Lineage: Bacteria; Bacillati; Bacillota; Clostridia; Lachnospirales; Lachnospiraceae.
AGUUGAGGGACCAAGAGGAGAAGAUGGAGCGAGUCAGGAGAGGUAAUAAUAUGGCGGAAGGAUAAUAAACCACAAGGGUAUAGCAAUAUUUCCCGAUUCUCGAAAAGGCAGUAGAGAAGAUAGUUUCUAGUAAUAGAGGCGUCGUGAACGCAUAAGCGACUUUCUUGUAAUUCCCUUGUAUGCGGGGCGAUGAGGUGGCUGUAGGGCUGACGCAUACA